This is a long non-coding RNA of Manihot esculenta (cassava), 1111 nucleotides long. RefSeq lists it as uncharacterized. The transcript has 2 exons. The record is from RefSeq and is a predicted model, not a curated record. NCBI's taxonomy places the organism in Eukaryota, Viridiplantae, Streptophyta, Magnoliopsida, Malpighiales, Euphorbiaceae.
AUAGAAUAAAAGCCCAGUAGAAUUCUUGGCAGAAGAAUUAGGCCCACCCAUCAUCUCAUCUUCACGCCCUUUUGGAGAGCUAUUAAUCCGGAGAGACCUUUCUGCUUCUCUCUUCUCCUUCUCUGAUCCCAAUCUCUUUAGCAGAGAAGCAUUUAAAGUCUCCGAAUGCUGAUAAUGGAAGAGGAGAGGGAGCUUCCUAAAGGUUUCUUGGGCGUUGACCUUCUGCGAGCCUAAAGAGUUCAAGAAAGGAAGAUUGUGUUGGUAGGGUAGAUCCGCAGGGUCACCGGAGGAGGAAGCCAGAGGAAGAGGUUGGGACUGGCAUCAGGUAUAUGGGAUGAUGGGAGGGAGGUACAACGACAGAUUUGGAAUGAACUAUAGAAGAAGGGCAGGAGGGUGAUGGAUUGGUUGAGGUGGUGAUUGGGUUAGCUCCAUGUUUUUUCAAUGAUUGAGUUUGCAAAUUAAUGGGAGUGAAUAUAAUUGCGGACUUGUUUGGAAAAAUUUUCUUUUAGAUUAUUGUUGAGAUGAGUUUGAAAUGUUGACCUUUAUAUUUGGGCUAAUAGCCCAUAAAUUUCUAACCCUUUCAACUUUUUACAUUUUAAUCCAUUAGUUUUAUCUCUGCAAAUUUUGAAAUAAUUCAAUUACAAACAUAAAAAAAAUGAGAAAAAAAAAAAAGAGUUGUACGGUAUCACUAGAAAGUGCCAUGUGUAGGUUGUGGUUGAGAAGAGGUCAUACUUAAGGUUUGGUACUCUUUUAAUCCUUUAAUAAUCUCUGGAAGAAAGCUAUGCUCGUCCGACGACGAUCCUCUUUCAAAUGUUGCUAGCAGCUAUUAUGGAGGUUUGAUGCUCCACAUUCAAAGCUCUUCCCUAAUAAAUGGAGCUUGCUCUCACUGUCGCUCCUCCUUUGGCUGCUCACCGACACAUUUCUUCCUCCAAUUGUCACUUGAAGGAGGCUAUACGGGGUCAAAUCAACAUCAUAAGAAGAAUAGAGAGAGCUACAGUAGGGACAAAUGAGAUGAGUGAUAAAUUAGGGUUAGGGUAUUUUUGUGUAUAUAAUACAUGACAAAAUGAUGUAGUUUUAAAAAUUAAUUCAACUUGAUUUUUUUUGGUUUUUA